RNAcentral lists this ribosomal RNA (745 nucleotides) under Sporosarcina sp. 1.7-04. Its description in RNAcentral is "bacterial SSU rRNA". It matches the Rfam family "Bacterial small subunit ribosomal RNA", at positions 48 to 772 of the family's 1533-position model. The record is from RNAcentral. Lineage: Bacteria; Bacillati; Bacillota; Bacilli; Caryophanales; Caryophanaceae.
GCCAUACAUGCAAGUCGAGCGGAAUGAUGAAGAAGCUUGCUUCUUCUGAUUUUAGCGGCGGACGGGUGAGUAACACGUGGGCAACCUACCUUGUAGAUUGGGAUAACUCCGGGAAACCGGGGCUAAUACCGAAUAAUCCAUUUUGCUUCAUGGCAAGAUGUUGAAAGGCGGCUUCGGCUGUCACUACGAGAUGGGCCCGCGGCGUAUUAGCUAGUUGGUAGGGUAAUGGCCUACCAAGGCGACGAUACGUAGCCGACCUGAGAGGGUGAUCGGCCACACUGGGACUGAGACACGGCCCAGACUCCUACGGGAGGCAGCAGUAGGGAAUCUUCCACAAUGGACGAAAGUCUGAUGGAGCAACGCCGCGUGAGUGAAGAAGGUUUUCGGAUCGUAAAACUCUGUUGUAAGGGAAGAACACGUACGAGAGUAACUGCUCGUACCUUGACGGUACCUUAUUAGAAAGCCACGGCUAACUACGUGCCAGCAGCCGCGGUAAUACGUAGGUGGCAAGCGUUGUCCGGAAUUAUUGGGCGUAAAGCGCGCGCAGGCGGUUCUUUAAGUCUGAUGUGAAAGCCCACGGCUCAACCGUGGAGGGUCAUUGGAAACUGGAGAACUUGAGUACAGAAGAGGAAAGCGGAAUUCCACGUGUAGCGGUGAAAUGCGUAGAGAUGUGGAGGAACACCAGUGGCGAAGGCGGCUUUCUGGUCUGUAACUGACGCUGAGGCGCGAAAGCGUGGGGAGCAAC